RNAcentral lists this ribosomal RNA (337 nucleotides) under uncultured bacterium. Its description in RNAcentral is "bacterial SSU rRNA". It matches the Rfam family "Bacterial small subunit ribosomal RNA", at positions 8 to 354 of the family's 1533-position model. The record is from RNAcentral.
AGAGUUUGAUCAUGGCUCAGCAUGAACGCUGGCGGCGUGCCUAACACAUGCAAGUCGAGCGAUUCUCUUCGGAGAAGAGCGGCGGACGGGUGAGUAACGCGUGGGUAACCUGCCCUGUACACACGGAUAACAUACCGAAAGGUAUGCUAAUACGGGAUAACAUAAGAAAUUCGCAUGUUUUUCUUAUCAAAGCUCCGGCGGUACAGGAUGGACCCGCGUCUGAUUAGCUAGUUGGUGAGGUACCGGCUCACCAAGGCGACGAUCAGUAGCCGACCUGAGAGGGUGAUCGGCCACAUUGGAACUGAGACACGGUCCAAACUCCUACGGGGGGCAGCAG